RNAcentral lists this small RNA (272 nucleotides) under Arabidopsis thaliana (thale cress). RNAcentral describes it as "ATSL202720". The record is from RNAcentral. Lineage: Eukaryota; Viridiplantae; Streptophyta; Magnoliopsida; Brassicales; Brassicaceae.
CCUUUUCUUUGAAUCACAAUGCCUAACUUCUUUGAAUUCAAAACCCUUUACUAGACUUAACACUUUUGUAUCCCCCUUAGAACUCUAAACUCUUACUCUCUUUUUUUUCUUUUUCUUUUCUUUCAUUCUCAUUCUCAUUCCCAUUCAUUCCAUACACAUUCCCUAUCCCAAAUACAAGUCUCCACCUAGUCCUAGCUAACCCAAAAAGCGUUGGUUAGGUCUACAUGAAAGACUGAUCUUGUCGGCUCAUACCUAACACGUUAUACCAAGCU